RNAcentral lists this ribosomal RNA (253 nucleotides) under uncultured bacterium. RNAcentral describes it as "partial 16S ribosomal RNA". It matches the Rfam family "Bacterial small subunit ribosomal RNA", at positions 524 to 776 of the family's 1533-position model. The record is from RNAcentral.
UACGUAGGGUGCAAGCGUUGUCCGGAAUUAUUGGGCGUAAAGAGCUCGUAGGCGGUCUGUCGCGUCUGCUGUGAAAACCUGGGGCUUAACCCCGGGCCUGCAGUGGGUACGGGCAGACUAGAGUGUGGUAGGGGAGACUGGAAUUCCUGGUGUAGCGGUGAAAUGCGCAGAUAUCAGGAGGAACACCGAUGGCGAAGGCAGGUCUCUGGGCCGAUACUGACGCUGAGGAGCGAAAGCGUGGGGAGCGAACAGG